RNAcentral lists this small nucleolar RNA (128 nucleotides) under Chelonoidis abingdonii (Abingdon island giant tortoise). RNAcentral's name for it is "Small Cajal body specific RNA 23 (ENSCABG00000014327.1)". The record is from RNAcentral. Lineage: Eukaryota; Metazoa; Chordata; Testudines; Testudinidae.
AUGCUCAUAAGCAAACCUAUCCUGCCAUGUGACUGUGAUAGAUGUUGGAAAAUGUGAGCAAGAUCAUGAGUAUUGCUUUGGGGGUGUCUCAUCCCAGUUUGAGAGACACAACAGUUUUCAAUACAACA